Molecule: ribosomal RNA, 465 nt
Filed under: uncultured bacterium
Lineage: Bacteria
Description: partial 16S ribosomal RNA
Rfam family: Bacterial small subunit ribosomal RNA
Source: RNAcentral
CUACGGGCGGCUGCAGUGGGGAAUAUUGCACAAUGGACGCAAGCCUGAUGCAGCCAUGCCGCGUGUAUGAAGAAGGCCUUCGGGUUGUAAAGUACUUUCAGCGGGGAGGAAGGGAGUAAAGUUAAUACCUUUGCUCAUUGACGUUACCCGCAGAAGAAGCACCGGCUAGACUCCGUGCCAGCAGCCGCGGUAAUACGGAGGGUGCAAGCGUUAAUCGGAAUUACUGGGCGUAAAGCGUACGCAGGCGGUUUGUUAAGUCAGAUGUGAAAUUCCCGGGCUCAACCUGGGAACUGCAUCUGAUACUGGCAAGCUUGAGUCUCGUAGAGGGGGGUAGAAUUCCAGGUGUAGCGGUGAAAUGCGUAGAGAUCUGGAGGAAUACCGGUGGCGAAGGCGGCCCCCUGGACGAAGACUGACGCUCAGGUGCGAAAGCGUGGGGAGCAAACAGGAUUAGAUACCCCCGUAGUC